This 538-nucleotide long non-coding RNA is filed under the name Olea europaea (common olive). RNAcentral describes it as "long non-coding RNA (OEUR_LNC006044)". Lineage: Eukaryota; Viridiplantae; Streptophyta; Magnoliopsida; Lamiales; Oleaceae. The record is from RNAcentral.
AGUGUACAAAACAAGCUGUUUAGUAACGCAACAUUAUAAGUUCCUUGAAAGUAUAGAGGUACAAGUUUGUCAUGUAUUCAUUCUUCUGUACACAAACGUUUUCCUUAUUCUUUAGAUUACAUCUAUUAGCAUAAACUACUCUACAUAUAGUAUACAUAAACAAUAUGAAGCAUGAAAAUCUACUGCCUUUACGUUUCGUUUGGUUGGGUUGGACUGGAGUGGACAAAACAUUGUUAAAGAAGAAUGGAAUGCUAAUUUUUUGUCCACUGUACUGUCCGGUGAUGUCAACUACUGUGCGCACUUGGUUACUGUUUGUCAUGUAUUCAUUCUUCUGUAUGCAAACGUUUUCCUUAUUCUUUAGAUUACAUCUAUUAGCAUAAACUACUCUACAUAUAGUAUACAUAAACAAUAUGAAGCAUGAAAAUCUACUGCCUUUACGUUUCGUUUGGUUGGGUUGGACUGGAGUGGACAAAACAUUGUUAAAGAAGAAUGGAAUGCUAAUUUUUUGUCCACUGUACUGUCCGGUGAUGUCAACUAC